AUGCAAGUCGAACGGCAGCACGGACUUCGGUCUGGUGGCGAGUGGCGAACGGGUGAGUAACAUAUCGGAACGUAUCCAAUAAUGGGGGAUAACUAAUCGAAAGGUUGGCUAAUACCGCAUACGCCCUACGGGGGAAAGCUAGGGACCUUCGGGCCUGGCGUUAAUGGAGCGGCCGAUAUCUGAUUAGCUAGUUGGUGGGGUAAAGGCCCACCAAGGCGACGAUCAGUAGCUGGUCUGAGAGGACGACCAGUCACACUGGAACUGAGACACGGUCCAGACUCCUACGGGAGGCAGCAGCGGGGAAUUUUGGACAAUGGGCGCAAGCCUGAUCCAGCCAUUCCGCGUGAGUGAAGAAGGCCUUCGGGUUGUAAAGCUCUUUCGCAAGGGAAGAAAACUUAGUCUCUAACAUAGACUGAGGUUGACGGUACCUUGAUAAGAAGCACCGGCUAACUACGUGCCAGCAGCCGCGGUAAUACGUAGGGUGCGAGCGUUAAUCGGAAUUACUGGGCGUAAAGCGUGCGCAGGCGGUUUUGUAAGUCAGAUGUGAAAUCCCCGAGCCCAACUUGGGAACUGCGUUUGAAACUACAAGACUAGAAUAUGUCAGAGGGGGGUAGAAUUCCACGUGUAGCAGUGAAAUGCGUAGAGAUGUGGAGGAAUACCAAUGGCGAAGGCAGCCCCCUGGGAUAAUAUUGACGCUCAUGCACGAAAGCGUGGGGAGCAAACAGGAUUAGAUACCCU
RNAcentral lists this ribosomal RNA (738 nucleotides) under uncultured beta proteobacterium. RNAcentral's name for it is "bacterial SSU rRNA". It matches the Rfam family "Bacterial small subunit ribosomal RNA", at positions 55 to 788 of the family's 1533-position model. Lineage: Bacteria; Pseudomonadati; Pseudomonadota; Betaproteobacteria. The record is from RNAcentral.